UACAGAGGUCUCAAGCGUUGUUCGGAUUCAUUGGACGUAAAGGGUGCGUAGGUGGCGCGGUAAGUCGGGUGUGAAAUUUCGGAGCUUAACUCCGAAACUGCAUUCGAUACUGCCGUGCUUGAGGACUGGAGAGGAGACUGGAAUUUACGGUGUAGCAGUGAAAUGCGUAGAGAUCGUAAGGAAGACCAGUGGCGAAGGCGGGUCUCUGGACAGUUCCUGACACUGAGGCACGAAGGCCAGGGGAGCAAACGGG
RNAcentral lists this ribosomal RNA (253 nucleotides) under uncultured bacterium. RNAcentral's name for it is "partial 16S ribosomal RNA". It matches the Rfam family "Bacterial small subunit ribosomal RNA", at positions 524 to 776 of the family's 1533-position model. The record is from RNAcentral.